Long non-coding RNA from Mesocricetus auratus (golden hamster), 2668 nucleotides. RefSeq lists it as uncharacterized. The transcript has 5 exons. NCBI's taxonomy places the organism in Eukaryota, Metazoa, Chordata, Mammalia, Rodentia, Cricetidae. The record is from RefSeq and is a predicted model, not a curated record.
CCCACUCAGUUCAUUCCAAAUGUAAAAUCAGGCCUCCCUUUUCCAGAGCCAUUUAUUAGGUCUGCUAAGAAAGGCAGGCAGGACCUUGGUUCACAAUGACGACUCUCGGGAAUCAGCCACCCGUGUCUCAUGGAACUACUGGGAAGGCACCAUCCCAACUCCCCACCCUCACUGAGCAGAACCACAAGAUGAACAAAGUGGAGAUGACCUGUGAGAGGAAGGACCUCCCUGGAACCCUGGUCCAUCACACCCACAAUGACUUGAUCAGCAGGACAGCUCUCUUCCAUCAAGGCAGUGAAACAGGAGAAUCUGCAGUCGAUUUCAUAAUGGAAGAACAAAUGAUGAGAACCAGCGAGGGACAGUUGUCAUCUCUGUAGAGCAUUGACCUCAGCAUCCCAGGAUAGAAGAUGGGAGUCUACAUUCUGGUUCUCUACAAGAGCCUGUUACACAACAGCCUGUGAAAGUUCUGGAUAACCCUGCAGCAGAAACAUCAGUCUGAGAUCAUCUGGCAAUGACUAAACUUACUAGAUCUAUAGAACACUUCACAUGGGAAAUGGUCAAACAAAGAAGAUAGCCAAUGUUAUAUCAAUGUUAUAUCAAAGAGGAACCAAGGGUGGGACUCUCAUCCCUACAGCUUAUGUCCCUCAAUGAGAAUGCAGAGAAUGGAAGGAAGAAAGGCCACAUGCCAUCCAACAUGGUGACAAAGAGAAUCACUCAUUUGACAUGUGUAGUAGGCUCUCCUCCUUGCAAGCUGCUUCCCCUUCCCCCACUGGGAUCUCACACGAACCCUGCAAAGAAAAUGAGAUGGAACUCCCUCCCUCAUGUCAGUACAUAGCACUCCUCCAUCACAAUGCCAUGUGAGUGUGUGAAGUGCCAUUGACCCAUCUCCCUGCUUGAGCUGCAGCUUCAAGAAGAGCAGCAAGGUUUAUUUGCCAAUGGAUUCUUACAAGAAACUCACUGCCCAGAAAUACUGAUGCAUGGACACAGAAAUGAGCAGUUGGAUGUCAUGAGAGUGAGGGGGAUGAACCUGUGUGGGAGGGCUAGUAAAGUGAUAAGUUAAAGCACAUUUGGGUGGAUGGGUAGACAGUAAUGUUACAUGAGGAAAUGGUGCUGGACCUAACCCUGACCCAGCUGUUUUUUCUUACCACCUGCUCCUGGGUCUGGAGUCUCUGAUGACUUGUUCCUGUUCCUCACAGACCCCUUUCAGUUCUCCCAAGUAGUACUGCAGCAGGAUCCAUUCCCCCAGCACCUUCUUGGUCUCCUGCCUCACUCGGCUUGUCCAUGACAUACUGCCCCUGAGUCUUCUCCAUCUGGAGUCUGUGCUGCAGAUGGCUGGAAACACUCUCUGUAUAGUGAGCCCUGCCAGGCUCCUCCUGUCACCCCUGCCGCCAUAACCCAUCAACCCCACUGGUCCUCAGGUUCCCAAAGGAGACAGAGACAAGAGGUCAAUGCAGUCACGCCAGCUACACUCAGGAGGCAAAAAGGAGAGAACACAGAACCCCAGAAAGAAUCAAACUAUUUAUGAAUAUGCCAACAACAAAAGAAAUCCAAGUGUCUCUACCAAUGGGAGUGCAUCCUUCAAUGCCCUUAAUUGACUGUGGUAACGGGGCAACAUCAGGAAGUAGGGAAGGAUUCCAUUCCAAGGGAGGAUAGGAGAUCCAGCGUGUGUAGAGGACUCAUGGGGGCAAUAAGCUUCUGCCUGAUACCACUCUCAUGUUGCCAUUUGUUCUUCUACCUAGAGAAAUGUUCCUCAAACUAUGGGUCAUGACUCCUUUGGUGAUGGAAUUACUCUUUCAAUGGGUGGCAUCUCAGAUAUCCUGCAUAACAGAUACUUACAUCGUGAUUCAUAACAGUAGCAAAAUUACAAGUAUACAGUAGUAAGAAAAAUGAUUUUAGGUUUGGAUUUCGCCAAAACUUAACAAAUUGCAUUAACAGCACUGGGAAUGUUGAAAGCCAUUGUAUUAGAUUUUAUAAGGAUGAAGUCUAGGACUGAAGCAGCUAACAGUCUCACAAUUAGCCAAACUGAGUGUCAGAGGCACAAGGCCAAGAGAUGCUUGCUAAGAAUGUUUGCUACGAGGCAUAAAGGCUAGAAACAGAGCUGUGGACUCUGAAGUCCAGUGAAGACAAAAGGCAGAGACAAACAUUUCACAGAUCUGUGGUCCCCUGCAAGACAGGCACUAACCAAUAGAAGAGUGACUCCUUGUCGAGCUCAUCAAAUUUAUCUAAGGUUUCAGUGUUCUCAUUCUUCAACCUAUGCAGGUCUGCCAUGACCUGUUUAUGCUCCAUCUGGAGAAUUAGGCUGUUGGUAGGGCAUAGACCUAGAAACAAAGAACUCCAUGAACAACGUUUUCAUGGAUCACAUGAAUUCAAGCUGUGUACAAGGCUACUGGGGCCAAUGGAAUGCCACACCCUGACUCCUUUGUAAUUGGAUUGAUUAUUAAAUUAGUUGUCCUGACCCUAGGCCAACAGAGGCAGGAUGUUUAGGUGAAAGGUGGAGGCUGCAUGAGCUCUUUCAGUAGGACUGUUGAAACAGCUGGAAAACUAAUUCCUUAAUGUCUACUUCAGGGGGUAUGCCCACCAAAAACUGGUAGGAUGUUUCUUCUGUCUUCAAAAUAUAAGUUCUCAAUCCUGGUGCCUGUCACAAUGGAGGCCAAAGUCAUUCCAUGAG